UUGUUUUAUACGGAAUACUAUUUUGAAACAUAAGUAAAAGCCAUUAGCAGUUUUUUUGAACGGUUAGUGGGAGGGAAAAACAGAUAAACUUAUUAAUACUAAAACUAAACACGGCAAACUGGUGUAAAAAGAUUUCCCUACUAUUCUGAGAGCUGUUGACAUCCCAAGCUAUUGCUGUAUUUCCAGCUACAGAGUGGAAAAACAAACAAAAAAUAAUAACAACAAAAAAAUACCUUUAUCCAGUAUUUUUCCUUUAACCAAAACAUUUAACAAAGAAAAUGCAGAGUGCAUGCAUAUAGUAUUCUAAUUUCUAUGGAUUUGUUUUAUGGAAUUUAAAUGUGUACAAACCAACUGC
This 355-nucleotide long non-coding RNA is filed under the name Bos taurus (domestic cattle). RNAcentral describes it as "long non-coding RNA NONBTAT011062". The record is from RNAcentral. Lineage: Eukaryota; Metazoa; Chordata; Mammalia; Artiodactyla; Bovidae.